RNAcentral lists this transfer RNA (75 nucleotides) under Spirochaetaceae bacterium. RNAcentral's name for it is "tRNA-His". It matches the Rfam family "tRNA". Rfam says of the family: Transfer RNA (tRNA) molecules are approximately 80 nucleotides in length. Their secondary structure includes four short double-helical elements and three loops (D, anti-codon, and T loops). Lineage: Bacteria; Pseudomonadati; Spirochaetota; Spirochaetia; Spirochaetales; Spirochaetaceae. The record is from RNAcentral.
GUACUCGUAGCUCAAUGGUAGAGUCCAAGAUUGUGGAUCUUGAUGUUGCGGGUUCGAAUCCCGUCGAGUACCCCA